This 311-nucleotide unclassified non-coding RNA is filed under the name uncultured fungus. Its description in RNAcentral is "partial contains 5.8S ribosomal RNA and internal transcribed spacer 2". The stretch from base 1 to 133 matches the Rfam family "5.8S ribosomal RNA", at positions 22 to 154 of the family's 154-position model. The record is from RNAcentral. Lineage: Eukaryota; Fungi.
UGGUUCUGGCAUCGAUGAAGAACGCAGCGAAAUGCGAUAAGUAAUGUGAAUUGCAGAAUUCAGUGAAUCAUCGAAUCUUUGAACGCACAUUGCGCCCCUCGGUACUCCGGGGGGCAUGCCUGUCCGAGCGUCAUUAAAGACUAUCAAGCCUGGCUUGGUCUUGGGCGAGGUCUAGGGACCCGCCCGCAACCCGUCGGCGGUGCCGGUUCGGCCCUGAGCGUAGCAAACAUACUCGUUUAGGGGCCGCAGCGGUGCCCGCCAGCAGAUUCCACCUAUAUUUUGACCUCGGAUCAGGUAGGGAUACCCGCUGA